UGAAUCCACGCGGGAGAGUCCCUGCCACCCCUGUGGCGGGCGCCGAAGGAGCAAGUUCCUCCCUUGAAUCUCUCAGGCCCCGUACCGCGUGCGAUGA
This 97-nucleotide non-coding RNA is filed under the name Streptomyces pristinaespiralis. RNAcentral describes it as "Glycine sequence". It matches the Rfam family "Glycine riboswitch aptamer". Rfam says of the family: This family represents the bacterial glycine riboswitch. Lineage: Bacteria; Bacillati; Actinomycetota; Actinomycetes; Kitasatosporales; Streptomycetaceae. The record is from RNAcentral. RNAcentral also lists the same sequence under 1 other name.